UCAACCACUUUUUCUUGGAGAUUUGUAAAUAGAUCUUUCUUUGAUCUUACUCUAUCUAAAAACCAAAAGAAAAACCAUUUUUGUACUUUUCACCAUUUUUUAGAUUUGAUCCAAAGUCCAUCAAACAAUACUAAUAACCACUACAUCAAAUCUGAAUUCAUUCACUAUAAAAGGAGGCACCAUUGCAAUGAUCCAACACAAAAAAAAACAUCCAUCAUCAA
This 221-nucleotide long non-coding RNA is filed under the name Lathyrus oleraceus (garden pea). RNAcentral describes it as "Pisum sativum (pea) long non-coding RNA (PSAT_LNC028415)". Lineage: Eukaryota; Viridiplantae; Streptophyta; Magnoliopsida; Fabales; Fabaceae. The record is from RNAcentral.